UACAGGCUUAACACAUGCAAGUCGAGGGGCAGCAUGGUCUUAGCUUGCUAAGGCCGAUGGCGACCGGCGCACGGGUGAGUAACACGUAUCCAACCUGCCGUCUACUCUUGGACAGCCUUCUGAAAGGAAGAUUAAUACAAGAUGGCAUCAUGAGUCCGCAUGUUCACAUGAUUAAAGGUAUUCCGGUAGACGAUGGGGAUGCGUUCCAUUAGAUAGUAGGCGGGGUAACGGCCCACCUAGUCUUCGAUGGAUAGGGGUUCUGAGAGGAAGGUCCCCCACAUUGGAACUGAGACACGGUCCAAACUCCUACGGGAGGCAGCAGUGAGGAAUAUUGGUCAAUGGGCGAGAGCCUGAACCAGCCAAGUAGCGUGAAGGAUGACUGCCCUAUGGGUUGUAAACUUCUUUUAUAAAGGAAUAAAGUCGGGUAUGCAUACCCGUUUGCAUGUACUUUAUGAAUAAGGAUCGGCUAACUCCGUGCCAGCAGCCGCGGUAAUACGGAGGAUCCGAGCGUUAUCCGGAUUUAUUGGGUUUAAAGGGAGCGUAGAUGGAUGUUUAAGUCAGUUGUGAAAGUUUGCGGCUCAACCGUAAAAUUGCAGUUGAUACUGGAUAUCUUGAGUGCAGUUGAGGCAGGCGGAAUUCGUGGUGUAGCGGUGAAAUGCUUAGAUAUCACGAAGAACUCCGAUUGCGAAGGCAGCCUGCUAAGCUGCAACUGACAUUGAGGCUCGAAAGUGUGGGUAUCAAACAGGAUUAGAUACCCUGGUAGUCCACACGGUAAACGAUGAAUACUCGCUGUUUGCGAUAUACAGCAAGCGGCCAAGCGAAAGCGUUAAGUAUUCCACCUGGGGAGUACGCCGGCAACGGUGAAACUCAAAGGAAUUGACGGGGGCCCGCACAAGCGGAGGAACAUGUGGUUUAAUUCGAUGAUACGCGAGGAACCUUACCCGGGCUUAAAUUGCAGAUGAAUUACGGUGAAAGCCGUAAGCCGCAAGGCAUCUGUGAAGGUGCUGCAUGGUUGUCGUCAGCUCGUGCCGUGAGGUGUCGGCUUAAGUGCCAUAACGAGCGCAACCCUUGUUGUCAGUUACUAACAGGUUCCGCUGAGGACUCUGACAAGACUGCCAUCGUAAGAUGUGAGGAAGGUGGGGAUGACGUCAAAUCAGCACGGCCCUUACGUCCGGGGCUACACACGUGUUACAAUGGGGGGGUACAGAGGGCCGCUACCACGCGAGUGGAUGCCAAUCCCAAAAACCUCUCUCAGUUCGGACUGGAGUCUGCAACCCGACUCCACGAAGCUGGAUUCGCUAGUAAUCGCGCAUCAGCCACGGCGCGGUGAAUACGUUCCCGGGCCUUGUACACACCGCCCGUCAAGCCAUGGGAGCCGGGGGUACCUGAAGUGCGUAACCGCGAGGAGCGCCCUAGGGUAAAACUGGUGACUGGGGCUAAGUCAUAAC
RNAcentral lists this ribosomal RNA (1448 nucleotides) under uncultured organism. RNAcentral describes it as "SSU rRNA". It matches the Rfam family "Bacterial small subunit ribosomal RNA". The record is from RNAcentral.